Saccostrea cuccullata (small rock oyster) is the source of this 1013-nucleotide long non-coding RNA. RefSeq lists it as uncharacterized. The transcript is spliced from 3 exons. Lineage: Eukaryota; Metazoa; Mollusca; Bivalvia; Ostreida; Ostreidae. The record is from RefSeq and is a predicted model, not a curated record.
UUACACCGUCCUGUAUCAUCCUCUCGCGAGACUUAAUCGAGAAGCGCAAAAUAGGAGUUCAAGGAGCGGCAAUGUUUAGAGAUACUGGUGAAAUGUAACGAAAUGCACAACUUACGCCCAAGAUUGACUCUAAUUCUUCACAUAAACCAUGUUCCCUUUCCCAAAAAUCUUGGUUUCGCUAGGAGUGCAGUAAAGGGAAUGUUGGAAGAAGUGUAGAUAUCAUGGCCACAGGCCAGUGGGGUAAGUGGCGAGUGGUUCCUUGUAAUAUGUAUUUAAACACACAAAUAUUGUUUAAUAAUUUAGUGCAUGUGAUGUGUUGUAUAAUAUUUCAAUAUUGAAAUAGAAGAAACGAUUUGAAUAUGUGUAAAAGGUUUUUGGCAUACUGUGAUUCAGUCUAGUCCAUGAAGAUCAAACGUACAUACACAGUGAAAUAUUUUCAGGUUUUACAUGUUAAAAUUUAGUAAGCAGAAGACUUAUAAACAAAUAUUUAUUAUCAGUUACUGUUAAAUUUGCAUUGAAUGUUUUGACAUGGUGUAAAUUUUGGAAUUAUACUCUUAAAUAAAGCCUUCAUUGCAUUGUUAUCUUCUAGCUAGAACCUUGAAGCCUGGCAAGGAUUAUGAGACUGGAAACUCCCAUUGAGACUACCAAAUGAAGAGAAAGUUUCAGACUGUUUAACUCGGACUAAGGGAAAAGAAGCAAAUUACAACAAGGAGAAUAUUGCAGAGGAAGGUAAGCUAGUGAAAAGUCGAGUGAAGAAAAAGCAAACAAGGCUUCACGAUCUGCAACUAGGCCACUGGCGAUGAAGAAGAAAAAUGUACAGCUAAAGAAGAUACAUCAGUGAUCAACUAAAGCUGGGCGACUUAUAUUGGAUUGACGAGGUGCAGGGGGGAUAUUAAUUUGGGUCUUUUUAUCCUUCUGUUUGUCAAUAUGUCUGUCUGUAACACUUCGUUCUCUUAACAUUUCCAAAAAGCCAUCAGAUAUUGCAAUGACAUUUUAUAUUAUAACUCAUUUUG